AUUUUUCAGAGUUAGGGUUUCGCGUUUCGUUUUGGUUUUGGUUUCUCUUUGCGUCUUCUGUGGAGUACGCGGAGGUGGUGCGUCUUCUCUGAACGAGUGCGGCGGUGGUGGCAAUCGAGCGGAGUGGUCGGGCGGUGUCGGCGGUUAGGUCGCAGGGCGGUGUCGGCGGUUAGGUCGCAGGGCGGUGUCGGCGGUUAGGUCGCAGGGUGGUGGCGGUUCGUAAGUUCGUGCGUUUGUGCGACGAUUGCGGUGGUCGCGAGUUGUAGGUCGACGGUGGGGUCGGAAUUGUUACGUGGUCUGAUUUAGGAAAUUAGGGUUCCAU
RNAcentral lists this long non-coding RNA (322 nucleotides) under Phaseolus vulgaris (common bean). RNAcentral describes it as "long non-coding RNA (PVUL_LNC003627)". The record is from RNAcentral. Lineage: Eukaryota; Viridiplantae; Streptophyta; Magnoliopsida; Fabales; Fabaceae.